Molecule: ribosomal RNA, 1560 nt
Filed under: Triticum aestivum (bread wheat)
Lineage: Eukaryota; Viridiplantae; Streptophyta; Magnoliopsida; Poales; Poaceae
Description: partial small subunit ribosomal RNA
Source: RNAcentral
AUGGUACUAGCAACAACCAGAACAAAAUCAGUGGCAAAAAUGAUAGGAACUAUGGAUGAAAUCACAUUGAGUGGUCUGGAUGAGAAGGAGUUUUGGCUGUUUUUCAAGGCAUGUGCAUUUCGCAAUGACAACUGCGAGCACCAUCCUAGUUUGCAAUAUAUUGGGAAACAAAUUGCUAAAGCACUAAAAGGCUUCCCACUAGCUGCACAAAGUGUUGGUGCACUUCUGAGCACAGAAGUUAGCUAUCAGCAUUGGACGACAGUUCGGGACAAACGGAAAUCUCUUCAAGGAUAUGAUGAUGAUAUUUUACCCAUCUUGAAGCUCAGUUAUGAUUAUCUACCAGUCUACCUUCAGCGGUGUUUCUCAUACUGCUCUUUGUAUCCAGAGGACUACGGAUUUGAUGGGAAAGAAUUGGUCCAUGCCUGGAUAUCACAAAAUUUUGUGCAGUGCAAAGAUCCUACCAUAAGACUGGAGGAAACAGGGCAUGAAUAUUUGGAAAAAUUAGUGGAUUUGGGCUUCUUCCAAAAGGAUGGCUCACACUAUGUUAUGCAUGACCUAAUGCAUGUAUUGGCAGGGAUGGUUUCAUCAAAUGAGUGUGCUACUAUAGAUGGAUUGAAAUCCGGGGCAAUUCGAGCAAGUGUUCGGCAUUUGUCGAUCAUAAUUGCUGAUUAUGAUAAAGAUGAACAUGUCAGCAAUUCUAGUGAGAAGUUUGACAAAAUACUUCAGAAGGUGUCUUGGCACAAAUUGAGGACAUUGAUGUUGUUUGGGCGAAGCAGCAUACAUUUAUCAGGGCCAUUGCGUACUUUAUGCAAUGAGGCAAAAUGUUUACGGUUGCUAAGUGUGACAGGUGCUGACAUCAGCUCUAUAUACAAUUCGUCAAAUCUAUUCCAUCUUCGCUAUAUAUCAGCAUACAGAGUCAGCAACCCUGCGUUUCGUCAAGCUUUGACAAGAUGUUAUCACCUUCAAGUACUGGAUGUGGGCAUUUCGGGCAAUCUUGAUGUACCUACUGACAUGAAUAAUCUUGUGAAUCUGCGUCAUCUUAUUGCUCAUGAGAAAGUGCACCACGCAAUAGAUUGUGUCAGCAACAUGACCUCUCUUCAGGAAUUAAAAUUCAAGGUUCAAAAUGUUGGCAGUUUUGAGAUAGGACAACUUCAGUCCAUGAAUGAGCUUGUAUCACUAGGAGUUUCUCAACUUGAAAAUGUGAAGACUAAAGAAGAGGCGUGGGCAGCCAUGCUGACACACAAAGAGUAUCUAGAAACAAUGUUCUUGUCAUGGGAGAAUAGCAGCAUGAGCCUUCAACCUGAGGCUGCAGAGGAUGUGCUUGAUGGUCUUCAACCACAUCAGAACCUCAAAACUCUAGAAAUAACUGGAUAUGGUGGUGCUAUCUCCCCAACCUGGCUUUCCAGUGCCUUUUCAGUUACCUCACUGCAGAUACUUCAUCUGGAGGAGUGUAGGGAAUGGCAAAUUCUAUCUACUCAUGGAAUGCAUUCCCUUAGGAAGCUGACAUUGAUCAGGAUGUUGAAUUUAAUGGAACUCUCAGUGUUAGACCUUUCAACCUGA